CCCUCGGUGCGCGCUUACGCUGUUUGCACGACGCUUCACGUGCGUUCCUAGUCUAUGGGAUCCUCUGGAACUCGUUCUCUUCCAUAUGUCCAUACUUCGAACGCGAGAUCGCUAUGAAAAGGGAUCACCGAAUCGCGCCGAUUUCACCGCAGGAUGAAUCGUAGAUACGAGAACGUCGUAUACGUGCCGGUAUACCGUGUAUAGCUCCGUAAGCGAGAUAUGGCAGGACGACUGAAAGUGCAGCCUUGAAUUCACGGCAAAUCUGUCGUAUGCAUAAUAAAGCGUCGUUCCAUGCAAAUCUCCCUCUGCCUCUCUCCUCUCUUCUUUUUUCUUCCUCUUUCUCGAUCCCUGCUUAGCUAUUUCACUUUCCCGCCGCGCGUUUCAACGAAAGAACGAUCGCCUAGCAUCGUUCUCCGCUUUAUAUUUUUCUGGAACUCGUAGCGGUCCACGCGGACAGGGAGAAGUAUCGCGAACAUUACCGAGCAUAUACGUAGCUCGAUUUCGAUUCCGUUCAGCUUAUCGACCAAGUAUCAUCCUUAUUCAAAGCGUUUUUCUUUUUACAGGAAUGCAUCGAUCGGUUACGUAAAAACUUGGAAUCCUGGCGCGGCUGUUGUGAACCGUCGUUCACGUUGUGAACGUUUAAAAUGUUUCUACCGUGAAUCGUGAAGACGACCGAGUUACCAGGGAAAAGAGGAAGAGGAGGAGGCAGACGAGGAAAAGGAAAACGUGGAAAGGCGAGCGCUCGCGAUCGAUCGCGCUCGAAACACUUUCACGGCGAAAAGGACGCGGAAGUAGAUAAGGACGAAACGUGUCAAAAGGAAGGCGCGAAUAACCGAGUCACCAGCUCACGGACCUCGACAGCUGUGGCUUUUCUGGCUAGUCAAUGCAGCGCGCCACAGACAAUGCUCCAUAGAAAUCGCCAGAUGCAUCUACAAGUGCUACCGUUUCAGAGGAAAAUGCGACAAUGACAUCGAAAUGCAUCGAACGAUGUUCCUAUCGGGCACCGGAAUUGCGUACGUGGUUCGCGUAUCAGACGCCACCUUGCCAUUCACGAUCAAUCUAAUCGCUGAACGCGUUUUGUUUUUCAAAACUUCGAAAGCGUACUUUCCAUCUCGGAUCGCGAAUUAAUAUUCCCUGUCGGAGAAGUUCGAUGAAUAUUCCUUCUUAUAUUGGAAAAGUUGAGAGUUGAGAAAGUUACGUAGAAUGUGAUCGUUUGAAAAAUCGUACAGAGUGAUAAUAAAUGCUCUAGAAUCACGACGACGUGCUUAAGCUACUCUAAAAUGGGAAACUUAGCGCUCUGCAUGAAAUUACGCGGUAUACACGUUUUCGCGAGUUGAAAGUGGCUCGUUUCCCGCGCACAAUCGAACAUGUUGACAUUGGCAGUCGCCGCAUAAAUCCUGCGAGGCGUAUAAAUAGACCUCUCGUUCGCAAACGAAAGGUCGUUACCGAAUGCACCACGAGUUGCACCACAAGUUACAAUACACCGCUACGUCUGAUGGAUAAGACUUGAAAGGUGGAUGGCUCGAUGACUUAACUGGACGAACAAUAAUCCCCUCGCUCAAGAAAAAGGAAGAGAAGGAAGAAAAGGGGGAGGAGCGGAGAAAACGAGAGAGGCUUAUUACCUCAAAUCGCGGCUGCUCCAUCACCAGACGUUUAAUAACCCCAGACCGAUUACAACGGGGUUUAUCGAAAUGGAUUUUUUUUUCUGUUGGCAUAGUUGGGAAUUGAAAGGCUCGUCUUGAGAACUACUCGAGUUCCGGGUCUCUGUGGCAAGAAGCAAGCGGUUUAUGCAAUAGCCGAUGCAACGGUAUCGAAAGAAGACAGGCGAAGGGACGGUGGGGUGAAAGGAGGUGGAAAGGGGCUCGAGAAGCCCUCCACUGUGUUCUUAGCAUUCCAUCGAGCAUCGUGGUUCGCGGUUAGACUAACCACCGAGCAAAAUGGUAUAGCAUUGGAAGAAAAGGGUUUUGAAAGAGGACGAAAGAAGCGUCGAACCAUUCGUUUGGGCAUACACAGCACGCGCCAUUGACGCGAUAUUAAGCGUCGUGGAUUUCGCUGGAUUCUUGAAAUCCAAUUGCCAUUAAACGCGGAGACCGCCGUUCUUCUAUCGAUCGUUUCUACCAGACAGUGCGUGAUCUCGUUAUCUAACGAUUUAGCGCGUUCAUCCGCGAGAUACCGCCGAUGAAAUUGACAGCAAAGCUUGUGAACCGCAGUACGUCUUCAUUCGUGAAACGGAUAAUCGCGAAAAUCUUGCACGCGAUUCCAAGAGUCGCGCGUUUCUUUGUCACGUACUACAAACAAUGUAUGUAUAUAAAGAAACGUUUUCAAGUUCGUCGCGUAUUUCCGCAACUACCGUCUCAACGUCUCGAAACCGGUGCGUAAUUUACAUCGUAUUAUUAAAGGACAGCGUAGGACGGAGAUUAGUGAGAAAGGGAGAAGAAGGAGAAGCAACGGAAAAUCCGGUGGAACGAAUCGUUUCGCGGCAAGCCACGGCGACGUUAUGCGUAAACGGGUCGUGCUCGGUCGACGCACGAUAAUUAAAUUUUCAGCGUGGAGGAAAGGUGAAAAGAGGCGGAAAGGCUCGGCGGCGGUAGGCGCAACUCGCGGACCAAUUAGGAAGAAUUUAACUUUUCCGCACAAUGGGAGGUAAAGGUAAAUCGAGCGUGGCGCGCGGUACACCGAGACCAGGCGUGGCGUUAACUUCGUUUUACGAGGUUCGUUUGUUUUCACCCCGGUCGGCAUACGCUAACUUCGAUAUCCUGGUGGAACUUUAAAUUCGAUUCUCCAACACGAAAGAUCGACGUGUCCGAGCCGAGAAGCGGGUCAAAUGCGCGCGAACCUUCGCGCCGGAACGAAUUGGCAUUGCUUAUAUAGAAGUUCUUUUGUCCAGAUUAGGAUCGAGAACUACUUUGCGUGUUGGCGAGUACGGCCAGUACACCGCUCAAGGUGGGGUAAUAAUUAGAUUUUCAGGGACGGAGGAAGCCAAGAACGAAAUAGGUUUCGUAUUUCGUCUUCGCGUUGCAGCGCCAGUCUCUCAUUGUCGAGAAAACAGAGAGAGAGAGAGAGAGAGAGAGAGAGAGAGGAGGAAUACAGGAAAAUAAGUACAAAUCUGUUCUUCACCGAUGAUGGCGAUAGUCGAACGGCGAUCUUUUUUCUUCCUUCCUUCGGAGGCGGGAGCGGAAUGAUUAUGGAGAGCAUAGAGGAAAAUCAUUAUCGUGUGCAUCGUAGAGAGAAAGAGCCAGCCGGCGUGAUAAUUAAAUUUCCAUAGACGAAGACUACGGAUGAAAAGGUGGAGUGAGAGGAAAACCGUUGGCGGAUAGAAGAACCCGGGGGUAAAAGGUGGAAUUAUGGUAAACUAUGUUCCCCCCGUGACUUUCGUCGUUGUGAAUUAACUCACGCUACGCUGCGCACGUUCUGCCGCGUCCACUGGAUUUGCUUCUAUCUCGAACAGAAUAUCCGAACGUCCGAAGUCAAGCUCACGGGGACAUACCGUAAAAAAUUUCCAAUUAUCUCGCGCGAACCUGCGAUUUUUAUCGAACUAGUUUCGUGAAAAUUCUAAUUGACGUCGUUAUCGUUUACGCGAUACUAUCGACGAGACAUACGACACGAUGAACAAUACACCUUACAACAUAGCCGUUUCCUCUCUGCGACUCGCUGGGAGAGAGUCGAUGAGGAGAACGUGGUUUCGUGAGUUGCUGCACAAAAGUGGGGCGGAAAAACGGCCAGGAAGACGUGAACUAACAGAUAAGACAAAUAUAUUGGAGAGGUAUAACGUACGUGGUUAUGGCGGAGCAUCACAGUGCCGCACGCGAACACCGAGAGAUCUCGAUAAAUCGUGGCUGAAGCUAGCUCGGGUUGCUUUGAACAUUUACACGUUAAUAAAAUACGCUUCUCAUACCGUGAUAAUAAAUUGCCCGAAUAUUAUAUGUGACAGCGAUAAACGCAACACUGCAAAAUAUAAUAGAACAGAGAGACCGAAUGAGAACGAUCGAAAGAGAUUUUAAACGAAAUGUUCCUUCGCACAGACGUUUUCAAGGUUCGUUGAACGUUCGACGCGAUGUUACGAGUGACCGUAGAGAGUCGAGGACAGUUUUGGUUGCAAGGUGACGUCACAGUUGAGGACGAAGCGUACCGACAAAGGAGGAGAGAAGUCGCUGCUCGUUUCGAGUGGUAUUUCGUCGCCGCGCCACGUUCGAGAAUGCCCGCAUGUCGGAAGUAUCGAAGACAUUAGCAUAUCGCGUGCGCUUUCACCGAGGUUAUCAAAGACACUUUGGGUUUAUACCACGGCACGACACGUGCACAUAAGAGCAAACAGGGUUCAGGUCUAUUUGUCAAAAUGCCAAUCAAAAAGCCCCCCGCUGAUAAGAAGACGCUCAUCCGACACUAGCCAGCAAAUUGCAUAAUCAAAUUUAAUAUACCGAGAACGAUACGAAAAUUCUCGAGUUACAAACACGCUACUAUUCAGCCGACAGCCAGACGAGUCUAACCAACCACCGAACAUUAUCGAUCUCCCUCCUAUUUCCAUUUCAUAAGAUUCCCUUGGCAGAAACGACGAGCUAUUCGACAUUGCCUCUAACGUAGUUAUCCUAUUAGGAAUAUAUUUUGCUCAAACACAAGAAUUCCGACACUUUGUCCGACUCGUAUCGUACGAAUUUUGGUGAACUGUACAAAUCCUAGAAAACUUGACAAUAAUAUACUUCUUAAGUAUCA
Long non-coding RNA from Bombus huntii, 4707 nucleotides. RefSeq lists it as uncharacterized. Lineage: Eukaryota; Metazoa; Arthropoda; Insecta; Hymenoptera; Apidae. The transcript has 2 exons. The record is from RefSeq and is a predicted model, not a curated record.